Molecule: long non-coding RNA, 430 nt
Filed under: Medicago truncatula (barrel medic)
Lineage: Eukaryota; Viridiplantae; Streptophyta; Magnoliopsida; Fabales; Fabaceae
Description: lncRNA gene38868
Source: RNAcentral
GGAUUUGUUGAUUUUGUGAAGAUUUGUUCUUGGUGUUCUUGGAGAAUUUUUUGGUGAUUUUCUGUUUUGGAUCUAACUGAUUUUGGAGAGAGAAAGAAAUUUCUGUUUUUGUGAUGUGACUGAUUCUGAUUUUUUUAUUUGGAUCUGACACAUCUAUUUAUAGUCUGCCAUGUUGUGCGAAAAUUCUGGACAAAAAUGCCCCUGGGACCUUUUCUGCAAAAAAAAUAAUAAAAAAGGACUGGAAAAUGAAAGUAAGGACUGAAAUGAAAUUAAAAACUGUUUGGACAAAAAAUGCAAUUUUGGGACCUCAAUUGAGGGACCAAAAUGCAAUUAAAAAUAAAAUUGAAUAAAAAACGUAAUUUGACCAAACGUAAAGCGAAACAAAAAAUAAAAUUGACAAAACGGACUAAAACGAAUCAAUGGCUUAAAU